Molecule: ribosomal RNA, 254 nt
Filed under: uncultured bacterium
Lineage: Bacteria
Description: partial 16S ribosomal RNA
Rfam family: Bacterial small subunit ribosomal RNA
Source: RNAcentral
UACGGAGGGUGCGAGCGUUGUCCGGAAUCACUGGGCGUAAAGCGUGCGCAGGCGGCGCGUUUAAGACAGGUGUGAAAGCCCCGAGCUUAACUUGGGAAUUGCGCUUGUGACUGGCGUGCUGGAGUGUGGCAGAGGGAGGUGGAAUUCCACGUGUAGCAGUGAAAUGCGUAGAGAUGUGGAGGAACACCGAUGGCGAAGGCAGCCUCCUGGGCCAGCACUGACGCUCAUGCACGAAAGCGUGGGGAGCAAACAGG